GAUCUUUAGCUCAGUUGGUUAGAGCAACCGGCUCAUAACCGGUUGGUCCGGGGUUCGAGUCCCUGAAGGUCCACCA
Molecule: transfer RNA, 76 nt
Filed under: Hafnia paralvei
Lineage: Bacteria; Pseudomonadati; Pseudomonadota; Gammaproteobacteria; Enterobacterales; Hafniaceae
Description: tRNA-Met
Rfam family: tRNA
About the family: Transfer RNA (tRNA) molecules are approximately 80 nucleotides in length.
Source: RNAcentral